UGCCAGCCGCCGCGGUAAUACGGAGGGUGCAAGCGUUGUUCGGAAUUAUUGGGCGUAAAGCGCGUGUAGGCGGUUCGUUAAGUCUGAUGUGAAAGCCCUGGGCCCAACCUGGGAACUGCAUGGGAUACUGGCAUUCUAGAAUACAGUAGAGGGAGGUGGAAUUUCAGGUGUAGCGGUGAAAUGCGUAGAGAUCUGAAGGAACAUCAGUGGCGAAGGCGACUACCUGACUGAUAUUGACGCUGAGGUGCGAAAGCGUGGGGAGCAAACGGGAUUAGAUA
This 278-nucleotide ribosomal RNA is filed under the name uncultured bacterium. RNAcentral's name for it is "partial 16S ribosomal RNA". It matches the Rfam family "Bacterial small subunit ribosomal RNA", at positions 506 to 784 of the family's 1533-position model. The record is from RNAcentral.